This 272-nucleotide long non-coding RNA is filed under the name Lathyrus oleraceus (garden pea). RNAcentral's name for it is "Pisum sativum (pea) long non-coding RNA (PSAT_LNC039824)". Lineage: Eukaryota; Viridiplantae; Streptophyta; Magnoliopsida; Fabales; Fabaceae. The record is from RNAcentral.
CACCAACAACACAACACAACGAUUUACUCACUAAUUCCUCACAAUGGGAAUUAGCUACAGCCCCACAGGCUAUGCCAUGCAUUCAUUAUGCAAUGAGACUCCAUGAAAUGCGGUACCGACUCUUCUCGAACAUAUAGUUCAAGCUCACCGAUCCCUCCAGAUACGGCUACUGAGCCCACUAGUCCCACUCAUUGAGAUCUAAUGACUCACUCACUAAUUCCUCACCAUGGGAAUUAGCUACAGCCCCGAAGGCUAGACUAUGCACACUAAUC